Molecule: ribosomal RNA, 211 nt
Filed under: uncultured bacterium
Lineage: Bacteria
Description: partial 16S ribosomal RNA
Rfam family: Bacterial small subunit ribosomal RNA
Source: RNAcentral
GUUCGGACUGUAGUCUGCAACCCGACUACAUGAAGCUGGAAUCGCUAGUAAUCGCAGGUCAGCAUACUGCGGUGAAUACGUUCCCGGGUCUUGUACACACCGCCCGUCACACCAUGGGGAGCCGGAAAUGCCCGAAGCCAGUGACCCAACCUUAGGGAGGGAGCUGUCGAAGGUGGAGCCGGUAACUGGGGUGAAGUCGUAACAAGGUAUC